AACGUAGGACGCAAGCGUUAUCCGGAAUUACUGGGCGUAAAGCGCGUGUAGGUGGUUGCAUAAGUCACCGUUGAAAGCUCCCGGCUAAACUGGGAGAGGUGCGGUGAGACUGUGCGGCUAGAGUACGGGAGAGGGAUGCAGAAUUCCGGGUGUAGUGGUGAAAUGCGUAGAGAUCCGGAGGAAUACCAGAGGCGAAGGCGGCAUCCUGGCCUGAAACUGACACUGAGACGCGAAAGCAUGGGGAGCGAACGGG
RNAcentral lists this ribosomal RNA (253 nucleotides) under uncultured bacterium. RNAcentral's name for it is "partial 16S ribosomal RNA". It matches the Rfam family "Bacterial small subunit ribosomal RNA", at positions 524 to 776 of the family's 1533-position model. The record is from RNAcentral.